UAUCCAUGAGGAUGUGGGUUCAAUCCCUGGCCUCGCUCAGUGGGUUAAGGAUCCAGCAUUGCCAUGAGUUGUGAUGUAGGUCACAGAUGUGGCUCGGAUCCCUCAUUGCUAUGCCUGUGGUGUAGGCUGGCAACUGCAGCUCUGAUUUGACCCCUAGCCCGGGAGCUUCCCUAUGCCACAGGUGCGGCCCUAAAAAAAGUUUAUCAUAAAAAUUUUUUUAAAUUUAUUUUGCUUUCUUGAUGCAAAUUAAAGUAGUAUUAAAUUGCUAGGGCUUGCUGUCAUUAUGUGCUUUUCUUAUCAAUUAAUGUUUAUGACUAAACAAUUAACUUACACUACCUGGGAAUCUUUAAUUAAAAGGGUUCCACAAUUUUGAAAAGGCCAGGAACCGUGAACCCCCGCGAUCAACUAAAGGACUUGCAGGUACUUUCUUUUCCUUGUGGGUGCCUGGUGAGGAACCCCACGGCUGGUAACAGGCUGGCGCCACCACCUGCUUUCCUGCCUCGAUUCCAGCGGUUUUACUCACCACUGCUUUUGCGCCUUAGUUCUUAGAUACAAGUAUCACUGCAGUGAAAAACAGCAAGGAACAUUGCAGCAUCUCCGUGAAAAUGUCUUCAUCUACAGGCCCCAUGAAAGGGUCCUCAGGUCUCCUGGGGGUCUGGAAAUGAGGCUUUGAGAAGCGCUGCUCCAAGGAGAAGAGGACCUGAGAUGCUCCCUAAAUUGUAGAGCAGCAGGUCUGAAUCUCACUUGGGAACAAUGUCCCUAAUUGUAGGCCCAGGACGUUCAACGGACCGCCGUGGAAACCUGCCAAGGUGCAAGACCAGGCCCUGCCCCACCGGCUCGCUGUUGGGGCCGCAGCCAUCUGGUGGCACACCAUCUCCAUGCCUCAGAGCACAAACCAAAGGCACAUCUCUGAAAAUGUGGGGAUUUCUAGGAAGGCCUUUUUUUUUCAGUCACAUCCUUCCAAUCCAGACUCCAAAAUAGCGAUAAAGAAACCGAGAGCCUUUCCUACUAGCUCCUGUUCGACCUCAUGUGGUGCCCUGGUCAGGAGCUUGGUGACCCAGAGUCAGUCUAGAGUUAAAGCUCUCUUCUGCCCCUUGCUAGGGCACCCUGGUAUCGAGCCACUUGUCCACAUCCGAGCUUCCUCAGAAGUCAAUUUUGUGUUGUGAUGCUUGUUGCCCCCAGAGAACUGUGACAAGGUUUAGAUCAGAUGAUACGUCUCUGGCGUAUCACGCUUGAGCAGUAGAUUCUCAAUAGACGGUAGCGUUAAUUUGGAAGUAGGCACACAGAAGGACGGUGCAUUCCAACAUGUGCUAAAGCCUGAAUAUUUACAGCCGUGAAGGGGCGUUCGUCUUCAGUCAGGUACCCACCCGGCAGGACGUUAGUGCAGCAAGAGCCCUUGGAAAUCAUGCCAUGGCCGCCCCCAUUUAGCCCAAGAAGAAGGAACUCGGCGAAGUCUGACAUUCCCCAAGCCCUGCUGCUUUUUAAGUUUCAUUCCCUGCUCUGCCCCUCACCCUCCCAACUCCCAGGCCAAUGAUCUUUACAAGUAGCUCCCAGGCCCCAUUGUCCCUUUGUUUUACGUUUUUUCGGGGGGGCGUGGGGGGCAUUGACUACAAUGAAAAUGCACUUGGGACAUGAUGUCCCUACCACCCUGCUCUGCUUCAUCGAGGCCACACAUGGUUGGAACGUCAGCGUUGGUCGCCAGCUGUCACACUUCCUGCUCAACAAAGACAAAGUUGCAAGCAACCCGCAUUCCAGAGCACAGGGCAGCUGUUUAAAGAAAAAAAAAAAUCCUUUUUUUGGCAUAGGGAAGUUGCUGGGCUAGGGAUUGAAAUCCGAGCUGCAGCUUCAAUCUACGCCCCAGCUGGGGCGAUGCUGGGUCCCUAACUCACUGUGCCAGAGCAGAAACUCCAAGAAGACAAUCCUUCUGGAUCUGGCCUUCAAGCAGUGCCACACGUUUCAAGCAAAAGCUGUACCCUCAAAGCAUAAAAGCUUGCUUUCUACGCAUAAAAGCAAGCCACCCCUUCACACCCUGAUUAGAGGGAGAUAAAACAGAGCGAAGGGAAACCUAAGGAGCCUGCAACCGUAAACGGAGGAGGUCAUCACCAUUGGCCCCGACCCACGCGGCCAAGAGGAAGAAAAUCAAGCUCUGCCCAGGCGGGGUUGGCACAGGGCCUUGAGGAUAAUGAAAAAUGACACAGCUACCUUCUUCAAGAACUUUCUUAGCUUUGGAGUUCCCGUCGUGAUGCAGCAGAAGUGAAUCCGACUAGGAGGCCAGGGAUCAAACCCACAACCUCAUGGUUAGUAAUCAGGUUCAUUAACGACUGAGCCAUGAUGGGAACUCCCAGUCUUCAUUUUCAUCUCAUUCUGUUAUUCAAUCUUCUCUUCCUUAAUCCCUUAUUGAAUUUAUAUUUUCACUAAAUUAUAUAAUACAAAGCCUCCCCAGGAAAUUCUCUUCUUUUAGGGUGGUUUUCUGCCCAGACAGGGUUCUUGAUCUUUUGUGAAUACUUCCUGUCUUCUUGCCUGCCUGCCUUUGUUUGGUAGACGUAUCACAGCAUUUGUUUGCAUCUUCCUCCUUUUAAAUGUGGAUACUGCAGCCCAGACUCUGUAUUUAUGCUGACAAAUAGUGUGAGUGAAUUCUCAGCAUCCUUUGGGGACUGGCUGUGGGAUUUUUGUAGGUCUGCCUUUGCCUGCUGUGAUCCAUUCUCAACUCAGCAACAACAGCGAGCCUGCUAAGAUGCUAGGUCCUGUUGGGCCCUGCUUCACCCCCUCCAGGGCUCCCCACCUCUUCCCUGUGUCCACUCUGCUCUGCUCCCUCCCUCACCUGCUUCCAAGGGAGGCCUCUCCUGAGCCCCCUCCCCCAACACUGCCCAUCAGGCAGCAAGGAGGAGGAGCUGAACAAAUUGUGGGGUCAGCCAGCAGCCCUUCCCUGCCCCUCCCCAGCCCCAGAAAACUUUCUCCUGUAGACCCUAGCAUUACAGAUUCUCUAGUCCAAUUUAUAAACAACUUUAUCAGAUAGAAUUCACAUAUUACAAAAUUCAUCAGUAGGUUUUGUUUUGUUUUGUUUUUUGUUUUUUGCCUUUUCUAGGGCCGCUUCCCACAGCAUAUGGAGGUUUGCAGGCUAGGGGUCUAAUUGGAGCUGUAGCCACAGGCCUAGGCCACAGCCACAGCAAUGUGGGAUCCGAGCCGAGUCUUCAACCCACACCACGGCUCAUGGCAAUGCCGGAUCCUUAACUCACUGAGCAAGGGCAGGGAUCAAACCCACAACCCCAUGGUUCCUAGUCAGAUUCGGUAACCACUGCGCCACGAUGGGAACUCUCAUCAGUAGGUUUUAGUACGUGUCAAACUGUGCAACUAUCACCAUGGUGUAAUUCUGGAGCAUAGCAUCAUCCCCAAAAGAAACCUCACCCCGUUUGCAAUCACUGCCCGUUCUCCUUGUCCCCACCCCCUGCCAGCCGCUAACUACUCUCCAUCUAUUAAUUUGCCAUUCUGGACAUUUGGUAUCAUGAAUCUGUACAAUAUGUAGUCUUAAGGAAAUACCUUAUUUCAGUGAACACAAUCUCUUGGAAAUUCAUUCAUAUUGUAGCAUGUGGAGUUCCCAUCGUGGCAUAGUGGAAAGAAAUCCAACUAGGAACCAUGAGGUGGUGGGUUCAAUCCCUGCCUCAUUCCGUGGGUUAAGGAUCUGACACUGCCGUGAGCUGUGGUGUAGGUUGCAGACGUGGCUCGGAUCUGGUGUUGCUGUGGCUGUGGUGUAGGCGGGCAGCUGUAGCUCUGAUUGGACCCCUAGCCUGGGAACCUCCAUAUGUCAUGGGUGGAGCCCCCCCCCAAAAAAAAGGCAUAUUGUAGCAUGUCUUAGAACUUUCUUCUUUUUGUUGCCAAGUAGUUUGGUCUUUUGUAUGGCUAUACCGAGCAUAUCUGUCCAUUCGCCCCUGGAUGGACGCAUCCUUUGCUUCCGCCUUUCACUCUUGCGAGUGAUGCUGCUGUAGACAUUCAGGUGCGGGCUCUCGCGUGGAUGGACGUUUCCCUGUCUCCAGGGUAUGUGCCCAAGAGUGGAACUGCUGCAUCAGACGGUGACUCUCUGGAGGUCGAGGAGCUGCCACAUGUUUUCCAAGCAGCUGUACCAUGUGACAUGCCCUCCAGCAACGCGUCAUUGGUUUUUAUUCUCAGGGAACAGCACCAACCAACUCUUACCCGCUUCUUUAUUUCACCUACGCGCCUUCAUGAAAUGUCUCUUUGAUUUAGAGACAGGCCAGUUUCCAAGAUACUUGUUCAAGGAAGGAAGUAGCUGACAGCCAACGCCCUGCACCAGCACAGGCGGUUGAAUGACGAGAUACAACUUCAAGCAUGAACACACCCUCAUACUUGGAGCUCUCGACACCUGUCAGAAAUGGACAGAUGCCGCAGACAGAAAUCCAGCAAGGACACAGUUGAACUCAACAGCGCCGUCAAUCAGCGGGAUGAAACGUACAUCUAUAGACACCUAAGACAGCAGAAUACAUAUUCUUCCCGGGGUCCCACUGGAAUUCAGCAAAAGAGACCACAUUCUGGGCCGUAAAAUACAUCUAUCUUCAAUUAAAAGAAAAGAAAUCAUAUAACGUCUGCCCUCAGACAACAGAGAAACCAGAAAUCCCCCAAUACGUGGGAUUUCUAAAUAACGCCAUGCUUGUAUACACAUCUGCCAAAGAAGAACUCCGAGGAGAAAUUUUAAAAUAUUUUGAGCUAAAUGAAAAUUAAAAGACAACUUCCCAAAAAUUUUAAGUGGUGAGAAACUCAAAGCUUUACCACUAAAAUCACCUGCAAACCAAGGAUGUCUCUUACGACUCCUCCACGUCAUACUGGAACUUCUGCCUCAUGCAAUAAGACAAGGCAAAGGAGAAGGAUACAGCUGGGCAAAAAAAUACAAAACUGUUUUUGUUAGAUGACAGAAUCAUAUGUCGAAAACCCCCUCCCAAAAAUUUGACCCAAAACGCCUCGAUCUAAUAAGCAGUUACAGAAAGUUUGCAGAAUAGAGGGAUAAUAUUAAACAGUCAGCCACUUUCCUACAUACCACAAAUGAACAAGUGGAAUUUGAAAUUAAAGACACAAUGCCAUUUACAUCAGCGCUCCCCAAAAUAAAAUACUUGGGUAUAAUUAAGAAAAUAUGUGUAGGAGUUCCCGUCGUGGCGCAGUGGUUAACGAAUCCAACUAGGAACCGUGAGGUUGCGGGUUCGGUCCCUGGCCUUGCUCAGUGGGUUAAGGGAUCCAGCAUUGCCUUGAGCUGUGGUGUAGGUUGCAGAUGCGGAUCGGAUCUCACGUUGCUGUGGCUCUGGCGUAGGCUGGUGGCUACGGCUCCGAUUCGACCCCUAGCCUGGGAACUUCCAUAUGCUGCAGGAGCGGCCCAAGAAAUAGCAAAAAAAAAAA
This 5397-nucleotide long non-coding RNA is filed under the name Sus scrofa (pig). Its description in RNAcentral is "lncRNA (ENSSSCG00030029971.1)". Lineage: Eukaryota; Metazoa; Chordata; Mammalia; Artiodactyla; Suidae. The record is from RNAcentral.